CAUAGCACCGGGGAGACACCCAGUCUCCAUUCCGAACCUGGAAGUUAAGCCCGGGCGCGGCGAUGGUACUUCGAUCGGAAGGUCGCGGGAGAGUAGCACGCCGCCGCAG
RNAcentral lists this ribosomal RNA (109 nucleotides) under Aeriscardovia sp. The record is from RNAcentral. Lineage: Bacteria; Bacillati; Actinomycetota; Actinomycetes; Bifidobacteriales; Bifidobacteriaceae.